UGACGGUAACCAAGGAGGAAGCCCCGGCUAACUACGUGCCAGCAGCCGCGGUAAUACGUAGGGGGCGAGCGUUGUCCGGAAUUACUGGGCGUAAAGGGUGCGUAGGCGGCAAUUUAAGUUGGAUGUGAAAUACCCGGGCUUAACCUGGGAACUGCAUCUGAUACUGGCAAGCUUGAGUCUCGUAGAGGGGGGUAGAAUUCCAGGUGUAGCGGUGAAAUGCGUAGAGAUCUGGAGGAAUACCGGUGGCGAAGGCGGCCCCCUGGACGAAGACUGACGCUCAGGUGCGAAAGCGUGGGGAGCAAACAGGAUUAGAUACCCUGGUAGUCCACGCCGUAAACGAUGUCGACUUGGAGGUUGUGCCCUUGAGGGCGUGGGCUUCCGGAGCUAACGCGUUAAGUCGACCGCCUGGGGAGUACGGCCGCAAGGUUAAAACUCAAAUGAAUUGACGGGGGCCCGCACAAGCGGUGGAGCAUGUGGUUUUAAUUCGAUGCAACGCGAAGAACCUUACCUGGUCUUGACAUCCACGGAAGUUUUCAGAGAUGAGAAUGUGCCUUCAGGAACCGUGAGACAGGUGCUGCAUGGCUGUCGUCAGCUCGUGUUGUGAAAUGUUGGGUUAAGUCCCGCAACGAGCGCAACCCUUAUCCUUUGUUGCCAGCGGUCCGGCCGGGAACUCAAAGGAGACUGCCAGUGAUAAACUGGAGGAAGGUGGGGAUGACGUCAAGUCAUCAUGGCCCUUACGACCAGGGCUACACACGUGCUACAAUGGCGCAUACAAAGAGAAGCGAUCUCGCGAGAGCAAGCGGACCUCAUAAAGUGCGUCGUAGUCCGGAUUGGAGUCUGCAACUCGACUCCAUGAAGUCGGAAUCGCUAGUAAUCGUGGAUCAGAAUGCCACGGUGAAUACGUUCCCGGGCCUUGCACUCACCGCCCGUCA
Molecule: ribosomal RNA, 932 nt
Filed under: uncultured bacterium
Lineage: Bacteria
Description: bacterial SSU rRNA
Rfam family: Bacterial small subunit ribosomal RNA
Source: RNAcentral